AUUGAACGCUGGCGGCAUGCCUUACACAUGCAAGUCGAACGGUAACGGGUUAAGCUGACGAGUGGCGAACGGGUGAGUAAUGUAUCGGAACGUGCCCAGUCGUGGGGGAUAACUGCUCGAAAGAGCAGCUAAUACCGCAUACGACCUGAGGGUGAAAGCGGGGGAUCGCAAGACCUCGCGCGAUUGGAGCGGCCGAUAUCAGAUUAGGUAGUUGGUGAGGUAAAGGCUCACCAAGCCGACGAUCUGUAGCUGGUCUGAGAGGACGACCAGCCACACUGGGACUGAGACACGGCCCAGACUCCUACGGGAGGCAGCAGUGGGGAAUUUUGGACAAUGGGCGCAAGCCUGAUCCAGCCAUGCCGCGUGCGGGAAGAAGGCCUUCGGGUUGUAAACCGCUUUUGUCAGGGAAGAAAAGGUUCUGGCUAAUACCUGGGACUCAUGACGGUACCUGAAGAAUAAGCACCGGCUAACUACGUG
RNAcentral lists this ribosomal RNA (477 nucleotides) under uncultured bacterium. Its description in RNAcentral is "partial 16S ribosomal RNA". It matches the Rfam family "Bacterial small subunit ribosomal RNA", at positions 30 to 507 of the family's 1533-position model. The record is from RNAcentral.